Molecule: transfer RNA, 86 nt
Filed under: Candidatus Babelota bacterium
Lineage: Bacteria
Description: tRNA-Leu
Rfam family: tRNA
About the family: Transfer RNA (tRNA) molecules are approximately 80 nucleotides in length. Their secondary structure includes four short double-helical elements and three loops (D, anti-codon, and T loops).
Source: RNAcentral
GCCGGGGUGGCGAAAUGGUAGACGCACGGGACUCAAAAUCCCGCGGUGGUAACACUGUGUCGGUUCGAGUCCGACCCCCGGCACCA